GACGAACGCUGGCGGCGUGCUUAACACAUGCAAGUCGAACGGAAAGGCCCUGCUUUUGUGGGGUGCUCGAGUGGCGAACGGGUGAGUAACACGUGAGUAACCUGCCCUUGACUUUGGGAUAACUUCAGGAAACUGGGGCUAAUACCGGAUAGGAGCUCCUGCUGAAUGGUGGGGGUUGGAAAGUUUCGGCGGUUGGGGAUGGACUCGCGGCUUAUCAGCUUGUUGGUGGGGUAGUGGCUUACCAAGGCUUUGACGGGUAGCCGGCCUGAGAGGGUGACCGGCCACAUUGGGACUGCGAUACGGCCCAGACUCCUACGGGAGGCAGCAGUGGGGAAUAUUGCACAGUGGGCGGAAGCCUGAUGCAGCAACGCCGCGUGCGGGAUGACGGCCUUCGGGUUGUAAACCGCUUUCGCCUGUGACGAAGCGUGAGUGACGGUAAUGGGUAAAGAAGCACCGGCUAACUACGUG
Molecule: ribosomal RNA, 468 nt
Filed under: uncultured bacterium
Lineage: Bacteria
Description: partial 16S ribosomal RNA
Rfam family: Bacterial small subunit ribosomal RNA
Source: RNAcentral